This is a long non-coding RNA of Neogale vison (American mink), 337 nucleotides long. RefSeq lists it as uncharacterized. The transcript is spliced from 3 exons. NCBI's taxonomy places the organism in Eukaryota, Metazoa, Chordata, Mammalia, Carnivora, Mustelidae. The record is from RefSeq and is a predicted model, not a curated record.
UAUUUCCCAGCUUCAACGACUGGUUUAGGAAUGAACACAUGAUCCGAGCCAGGGAUCUGUGGAGCCCCAACUCUGAUCCUAGGCCCAACGUGAUUGGGCCCUAAAAAAGAAGCAACAUCUGCAGGACCUCUGCUCUUUGCCGGGCACUUGAAGCUCAUGAUCACCUUGGACUCUGUGCUAUGAGUAAUAUCACCACCAUUUUACAGACGAGGAAACUGGAGUGAGGCUCAGAGAAAACACAGAAGCGACUUAGGGGCCCCCACAAGCUGGGCCUCUUGCCUUGCAUGACUCCAGGAGGCACCAUUCACUGUGCAUUCUGAGUUCGACCUUUACCGAG